UACGUAGGUGGCUAGCGUUGUUCGGAAUUACUGGGCAUAAAGGGUCCGUAGGCGGCCUGCUCAGUCCGAUGUGAAAGCCCCCGGCUCAACCGGGGAAUUGCGUCGGAUACUGGCAGGCUUGAGGGUCGGAGGGGAGAGCGGAAUUCCUGGUGGAGCGGUGAAAUGCGUAGAUAUCAGGAGGAACGCCAAUGGCGAAGGCAGCUCUCUGGACGACUUCUGACGCUGAGGGACGAAAGCCAGGGGAGCGAACGGG
RNAcentral lists this unclassified non-coding RNA (253 nucleotides) under uncultured Planctomycetota bacterium. RNAcentral describes it as "uncultured planctomycete contains 16S-23S intergenic spacer region". It matches the Rfam family "Bacterial small subunit ribosomal RNA", at positions 524 to 776 of the family's 1533-position model. Lineage: Bacteria; Pseudomonadati; Planctomycetota. The record is from RNAcentral.